UACAGAGGUCUCAACCGUUGUUCGGAUUCAUUGGGCGUAAAGGGUGCGUAGGCGGUCGCGUAAGUCAGGUGUGAAAUCCCGGGGCUCAACCCCGGAACUGCAUUCGAUACUGCCGUGCUUGAGGACUGGAGAGGAGACUGGAAUUUACGGUGUAGCGGUGAAAUGCGUAGAUAUCGUAAGGAAGACCAGUGGCGAAGGCGGGUCUCUGGACAGUUCCUGACGCUGAGGCACGAAGGUCAGGGGAGCAAACGGG
This 253-nucleotide ribosomal RNA is filed under the name uncultured bacterium. Its description in RNAcentral is "partial 16S ribosomal RNA". It matches the Rfam family "Bacterial small subunit ribosomal RNA", at positions 524 to 776 of the family's 1533-position model. The record is from RNAcentral.